Molecule: non-coding RNA, 277 nt
Organism: Pelobates cultripes (western spadefoot toad)
Lineage: Eukaryota; Metazoa; Chordata; Amphibia; Anura; Pelobatidae
Source: the annotation of a GenBank genome assembly
UUAUAGAACAUGUAUACAUGACAUGCAGACACAUUAUUCACUACUAUUAGAAUGGGGUCCCCCAUGACAUAUUGACAUAUUAUUCACUACUGUUAGAAUGGGUUCCCCCAUGACAUAUUGACAUAUUAUUCACUACUGUUAGAAUGGGUUCCCCCAUGACAUAUUGACAUAUUGACAUAUUAUUCACUACUGUUAGAAUGGGUUCCCCCAUGACAUAUUGACAUAUUAUUCACUACUGUAAGAAAGGGUUCCCCCAUGACAUUUUAGCAUAUUAUAC